GUGCAUGCCUACUUCCCAACCGCUUGCAACCCUCUCCCUUACAACUCUUGCCCUCGUAAUAAUCUGGGAAGCAGCGUAAGCCUUACCUUGACAGUAAACAGCCUCUCCUUCAUCAACACUCUUGCCGGGCCUCCUCGUGGCAACACACGUUAACUGGGUGGCCCCAUGCUAACUCGGCCUGUACCAGCUGUGGGGAGGUACCGGUCAUCUUUGAUAUUUUCUUCUCCUUUCCUCGCCACCGGAGUAGCCCAUUUCCCAACAGCGUGUCACUCACGAAAUCGGUUCGUCACGCAGGUAUCCACUACUGCUCUGCAGCGACUUCCACCUAGAAUUCCUGAAACCAUUCAAGUGUACAGGCAAUGGGAGUGCUUGGUAACGGGCAGGACGGAAUGAUCUGGAAUCUCCUAGCCGGGCCCCUGCACGGUAGCAGCACGGGGCUUUUGGUUGUCGUCAGCAGCUGGGAUUUGAGUGGCAGCUACACCUGGUAGUCCUGUUUUAGGAACCACAGUGCUCACCCCAGCAGGGGAAAAGGUGUCUGAAACAUUGCCCACUCUAACUCUCUUAUUUAGAUAGGUGCAGUAGCCUAUCAGGACAUUCCGCUUCAGCGGUCGCUAACUAGAUACAAAUAAAUGUGUCCUUACGACUUAUACCAUGGAACAUCUCUUGGACGUGAGCCACGGCGCCGACAGGCCCGAAGGAAGGACGACGCUCAUCACAGCCGAGCUGAAGCGCCGACAGGCCCGAAGGAAGGACGACGCUCAUCACAGCCGAGCUGAAGCGCCGACAGGCCCGAAGGAAGGACGACGCUCAUCACAGCCGAGCUGAAGCGAUUUAUAACAAUGACAUCGCUGCAAAUAGUGUGAGACCAGACUCCUUGGUGAAGGGUCGCUCAGCCAUCCUUAACCAAGCUAGAGAAUGAAGGUUCACCCAGCCAUCCUUAAUAACCAAGCUCAGACUGCUAGAGACUGAAGGUUCACCCAGCCAUCCUUAACCAAGCUCAGACUGAAGGUUCACCCAGCCAUCCUUAACCGAGCUAGAGAAUGAAGGUUCACCCAGCCAUCCUUAACCGAGCUAGAGAAUGAAGGUUCACCCAGCCAUCCUUAACCGAGCUAGAGAAUGAAGGUUCACCCAGCCAUCCUUAACCGAGCUAGAGAAUGAAGGUUCACCCAGCCAUCCUUAACCGAGCUAGAGAAUGAAGGUUCACCCAGCCAUCCUUAACCGAGCUAGAGAAUGAAGGUUCACCCAGCCAUCCUUAACCGAGCUAGAGAAUGAAGGUUCACCCAGCCAUCCUUAACCGAGCUAGAGAAUAAAGGUUCACCCAGCUAUCCUUAACCGAGCUAGAGACUGAAAUUUCACCCAGCCAUCCACCUCAAGAAGUCCACUUAA
Oncorhynchus gorbuscha (pink salmon) is the source of this 1386-nucleotide long non-coding RNA. RefSeq lists it as uncharacterized. NCBI's taxonomy places the organism in Eukaryota, Metazoa, Chordata, Actinopteri, Salmoniformes, Salmonidae. The record is from RefSeq and is a predicted model, not a curated record. The transcript has 3 exons.